CCCAGACUCCUACGGGAGGCAGCAGUGAGGAAUAUUGGUCAAUGGCCGGGAGGCUGAACCAGCCAAGUCGCGUGAGGGAAGACGGCCCUACGGGUUGUAAACCUCUUUUGCCGGGGAGCAAGGGCGGGGACGUGUCCCGGCCCGGAGAGUACCCGGAGAAAAAGCAUCGGCUAACUCCGUGCCAGCAGCCGCGGUAAUACGGAGGAUGCGAGCGUUAUCCGGAUUUAUUGGGUUUAAAGGGUGCGUAGGCGGGCUUUUAAGUCAGCGGUAAAAAUGCGGUGCUCAACGCCGUCGAGCCGUUGAAACUGGCGUUCUUGAGUGGGCGAGAAGUAUGCGGAAUGCGUGGUGUAGCGGUGAAAUGCAUAGAUAUCACGCAGAACUCCGAUUGCGAAGGCAGCAUACCGGCGCCCUACUGGCGCUGAGGCACGAAAGCGUGGGUAUCGAACAGGAUUAGAUACCCUUGUAG
RNAcentral lists this ribosomal RNA (466 nucleotides) under uncultured bacterium. Its description in RNAcentral is "bacterial SSU rRNA". It matches the Rfam family "Bacterial small subunit ribosomal RNA", at positions 330 to 793 of the family's 1533-position model. The record is from RNAcentral.